GGUAAACGGGUGGAUCCGCAAAGUCGGCUCGCGGAAUUCAGCGCGGCGCGCGGCCUGGGGCUGCUGCGGCUCGGGAUCCCUGUGGACCCGUCCGUGGCGUCGCGCCGGGCCCCGCCGCGUGCACUUUCCGCGGGCAGAGCGCCACAACCGGUUCUCGGGCGGCCAGAAGCCGAGCGGGAAGGUAGGCGAGGGCGGCAACGUCCACGCUGUUAUAGCCCGUUUAGGUCGACUGCCUGGGGACCGAGGACGUACCGCGCGCCUGGAGGCUACCUGGCCUUCCGGCGGAGUUCGACUGAGAGGGACUGGGCAACCGUGCCUCUCGACCGCUCCGUCGUGACCGGACGGGCUAGCCGGGCGCGGUGUGUGGGUUG
This 371-nucleotide ribosomal RNA is filed under the name Onchidium striatum. Its description in RNAcentral is "partial 28S ribosomal RNA". The record is from RNAcentral. Lineage: Eukaryota; Metazoa; Mollusca; Gastropoda; Systellommatophora; Onchidiidae.